UCGGGUGACAGGGAGACAGGUGGUGCAUGGUUGUCGUCAGCUCGUGUCGUGAGAUGUUGGGUUAAGUCCCGCAACGAGCGCAACCCCUACGUUUAGUUGCUAACAGGUGAAGCUGAGCACUCUAGACGAACUGCCGUUGACAAACGGAGGAAGUGGGAUGACGUCAAAUCAUCAUGCCCCUUAUGUUCUGGGCUACACACGUGCUACAAUGGUUGGUACAACGAGUUGCGAGUCGGUGACGGCGAGCUAAUCUCUUAAAGCCAAUCUCAGUUCGGAUUGUAGGCUGCAACUCGCCUACAUGAAGUCGGAAUCGCUAGUAAUCGCGGAUCAGCACGCCGCGGUGAAUACGUUCCCGGGCCUU
Molecule: ribosomal RNA, 361 nt
Filed under: uncultured Streptococcus sp.
Lineage: Bacteria; Bacillati; Bacillota; Bacilli; Lactobacillales; Streptococcaceae
Description: bacterial SSU rRNA
Rfam family: Bacterial small subunit ribosomal RNA
Source: RNAcentral